This is a long non-coding RNA of Columba livia (rock pigeon), 2720 nucleotides long. RefSeq lists it as uncharacterized. The record is from RefSeq and is a predicted model, not a curated record. The transcript is spliced from 2 exons. NCBI's taxonomy places the organism in Eukaryota, Metazoa, Chordata, Aves, Columbiformes, Columbidae.
CCGGCGUGCGGCUGCGCUCGAAGGAGUCCCACUGCUCGCCCAGGAAACAGCGGCAGACGGCGCAGACCAAGGCGCAACCCUCUGCCGAGACGGCGCGGGCACCGGGGGCCGGUUCCUGAUGCUGGAGGAAUGGAAAGAAGGAACGAGCUGCUCUGCAAAUGCCAAGUGCUGAUGCCAAAGGGCCGUGUCAACAAAGAAGAAUGAGUGUGGCUGUUAGAGGCUGCUAUUAAAAAAGGGUGGAGAGGAGAGGGAGAGAGAUGGGGAGAAAAAAAAAAAGGGUUUGUCAGUGCAAAUACUAACAGUUUGCACAGCAGAAAAAAUUCAGCCGGCGUCCUGCAGUGCCCUUGGGGGCUUGCACCAAGCAGGGACCUGCACCCCAUGUACUCCCCAGGGUACAAACCCAUCCCACUGACUUGGCAUCCCCUCCACAGGCACCACAAAGUGUUUUCCAAGCUCUAAGUAUUUUCAGCUCCUGCUCGGCCAUCAAGCCCCAGUGCAGGGAGUGGUGUCCAGGCUGUGCGUGGCAUCGUGUCCCUGGAACACAGUGGGACGGGUCGAGGUCCUGAGUGCCAGGAGCUAUUUGUAGGCACUGCCAAGCGGGAUGAGAGGGAAGGAGCCUCUCACAUGAUGCUGAAGAUGCAAUGGGAAGACACGAUCUCUGGUUUCAGCUUUCUAUUCCUGGUCCCGUUAUUCACCGGUCGAAGAUGCCAUCUGCCCCGCUGGGCAGCUGGGGCCGGAUCCGCAGCUGGUGGAGCUCCAAGAGAAUCCAAGGGAGUUUGAUGGCCUCAUUCCUUGGGGAGCAGGCAAAGGUUAUGGAUAAUUCCCAGACAAAAUUCCGCCUUGACGUUGCCUCUCCCCUCCCCCGAUAUCUGGUACCCAGGAUGCCAAACCCAAGCAGAUGCAGCGGGGCCUGGGAUGCCAAGGAGCAAUGCAUGGGAAAAGGCAACACCAGCAUACAAAUACAGAGAAAGAUAUAAACAAAAACUGAAUCUUUCUCCAAAAUCCAUACUGAAAAUCUUUCUGGGGCUAAUACAUCAGUUUACUCCAUAUUGACUUUUUAAAAAUUAUUCUAGCUUACUGUUUUCGAAGCAUACCUUGGGCUUUCCUUAGCCCUGAUUUUACUACCACAUCAGCAUGCACCCCGCAACCCACCUUUUGUGCUCAUCUCAAAAGCAAUACUAGGAGGAGCUCAAACCUCCUCGAACAGCAGAGUUUUAAUGUACUUUUCCCCCCCAAAAAAAGGAAAAAAUUGGUCAAAAUUGAGAUGUUCCCACAGAAACUGGUAUUUCCCGAUGGAAAAACAUUCCAUCAGCAAAAUGCUGACCCGCUCCGGUUACAGCCUGGUCAUGGCGAUGAGGCAAUGCAGCUGGGAAAGGAAUUAGAAAAGGAGUUGGAGAGCUGCACAGCUUCACCGCAUCCCCGGCUGCGAGGACCUCACUUCUCCCCAGUCAUUCCCAGUAGCAGGAUGUGGAUGGGCUGGGAGGAGCUGAGCUGUCAGUACAGCACCCCAGGAUCCCGGCACCCCAACCCCAUCAUCACCCCAACCCCACUGGCACCCCGGGAUGUCUCACCCACAGUCUCUGCUCCCCCAAACCUGACUGUGGCUUUAUCUGAAGUUCCAGGCGAGCCAAGGGGACCAGAUGUCCCCAAGGACGAAGCUCUGCAAACAACCCCAGCCUGGCCCGCACUGCUUAUUGGGAACAUCUUGCAGGAUUUAGCAAGCUGCAGGAGGAGAUUAGCAGAGCGAGGGCUGGCAGCUCGGCAGUUUUGCCACCGGGACUGCAGACCAAGGGUUGUCGUCUGUGUCUUUGCUCAAAGAAUUGGUGGAAGUGCUCUUGUUUGGGAGGUUCUCCUGUGCCUUCAGGUGGCCAAGCGAUGGAUGGGGUUUGUUUUCUUUCUUUUUUUGAAGGCACGUUGGUAAACGCUGACUGGAACGGAACGGGAAUCAACCGUCCUUUCCACAUCCAAAGGGUGAGAAGAGAAAUUUCUGCAUGGAAAAGCUUUUUGUUGGCCAUAAUGGGGCAGAAGCAACCCCAAAAUGGCAAAUGCAGCUCACACAGGGUCCAGCCCCACUGCGGGAAGCACUGAUGCACAGGAAAGGUCCCAACCAUGCAGAUGAAGCAGGGGCUUAUCCCCACCACCCCACACAACGCUGGAUCUCAUCAACUGCAACAGACACAUCCCUCUGGACACAGGACACAGCUGUCACACCCUGGGAAACUGAGGCAAAGGGGCUAAUCUGCAGGAACGUAAGCCCAGACCUCCCAAAUUCCUGUCGACCAGCUUAAAGCACAUCCCUGUGUCCUGCCAAUCACUUUCCCACCAAAAUGUGGGUUUCCAGCAGGGAUUCGCCCUCCUCCAGCUGCAAGGAUGCUCUCAGAGCCCAGCGGUCCAUCCCGAGGGAUGUGCUCGCGCUUCCAAUGGGGAUGAAGCUUGAUCCCACCAGGCAAAAGUACCAUCUUCCAUGGGGACUCCCGUGGGGACACCCCACCUCAAAUCAUGGUGCACCAGGGACAGGGUCCCCAUCCCCAACAUCUCCCCAUUUCUCCCAUAAAUCAACACCAGCACCGUGAACUAAAAGCAAGUUUAUCUUAAAGGCUUUUAAAAAAUACAUAUUAAAAAAAUACAGCUUCAUCAGAAAGGCUUUUUUUUUAUUAUUUUUUGAGGGGGAAAGGUUUAUACUUCCCUGGAGACCUCUUCAAUAAAACGCGUUUUGGCUC